Molecule: transfer RNA, 72 nt
Filed under: Phrynosoma platyrhinos (Desert horned lizard)
Lineage: Eukaryota; Metazoa; Chordata; Lepidosauria; Squamata; Phrynosomatidae
Description: tRNA-OTHER
Source: RNAcentral
GCUAGUGUGACAUAGUGGUCUCAGUGUUGGACUACAACUCUGGAGACCAGGGUUCAAAUCCCAGCUCAGACA